GACGAAGGUGGCGACCGUUGUUCGGAAUCACUGGGCAUAAAGAGCACGUAGGCGGCAAGGUAUGUCGGGUGUGAAAUCCCUCGGCCUAACCGAGGAAUUGCGCCCGAAACUACCGUGCUUGAGGAUGGAAGGGGAGCGUGGAAUUCCUGGUGGAGCGGUGAAAUGCGUUGAUAUCAGGAGGAACACCGGCGGCGAAGGCGACGCUCUGGUCCAUUACUGACGCUGAGGUGCGAAAGCCAGGGGAGCAAACAGG
This 253-nucleotide ribosomal RNA is filed under the name uncultured bacterium. RNAcentral describes it as "partial 16S ribosomal RNA". It matches the Rfam family "Bacterial small subunit ribosomal RNA", at positions 524 to 776 of the family's 1533-position model. The record is from RNAcentral.